This 482-nucleotide ribosomal RNA is filed under the name uncultured bacterium. Its description in RNAcentral is "partial 16S ribosomal RNA". It matches the Rfam family "Bacterial small subunit ribosomal RNA", at positions 28 to 507 of the family's 1533-position model. The record is from RNAcentral.
GACGAACGCUGGCGGCGUGCUUAACACAUGCAAGUCGAACGCUGAAGCUCAGCUUGCUGGGUGGUUGAGUGGCGAACGGGUGAGUAACACGUGAGUAACCUGCCCUCUUCUUUGGGAUAACGCCCGGAAACGGGUGCUAAUACUGGAUAUUCACUGAUUCUCGCAUGGGGGUUGUUGGAAAGGUUUUUUCUGGUGGGGGAUGGGCUCGCGGCCUAUCAGCUUGUUGGUGGGGUGAUGGCCUACCAAGGCUUUGACGGGUAGCCGGCCUGAGAGGGUGACCGGUCACAUUGGGACUGGGAUACGGCCCAGACUCCUACGGGAGGCAGCAGUGGGGAAUAUUGCACAAUGGGCGAAAGCCUGAUGCAGCGACGCCGCGUGAGGGAUGGAGGCCUUCGGGUUGUAAACCUCUUUCGCUCAUGGUCAAGCCGCAGCUUGGGGUUGUGGUGAGGGUAGUGGGUAAAGAAGCGCCGGCUAACUACGUG